GGGUGCGUUAAUGGGCGUCGAGCGGCGGACGGGUGAGUAAUGCCUAGGAAAUUCGCCUUGAUGUGGGGGAUAACCAUUGGAAACGAUGGCUAAUACCGCAUAAUGCCUACGGGCCAAAGAGGGGGABCUUCGGACCUCUCGCGUCAAGAUAUGCCUAGGUGGGAUUAGCUAGUUGGUGAGGUAAUGGCUCACCAAGGCGACGAUCCCUAGCUGGUCUGAGAGGAUGAUCAGCCACACUGGAACUGAGACACGGUCCAGACUCCUACGGGAGGCAGCAGUGGGGAAUAUUGCACAAUGGGCGAAAGCCUGAUGCAGCCAUGCCGCGUGUAUGAAGAAGGCCUUCGGGUUGUAAAGUACUUUCAGUUGUGAGGAAGGGGGUAGCGUUAAUAGCGCUAUCUCUUGACGUUAGCAACAGAAGAAGCACCGGCUAACUCCGUGCCAGCAGCCGCGGUAAUACGGAGGGUGCGAGCGUUAAUCGGAAUUACUGGGCGUAAAGCGCGAUGCAGGUGGUUCAUUAAGUCAGAUGUGAAAGCCCGGGGCUCAACCUCGGAACUGCAUUUGAAACUGGUGAACUAGAGUACUG
RNAcentral lists this ribosomal RNA (583 nucleotides) under Vibrio sp. Vb255. Its description in RNAcentral is "bacterial SSU rRNA". It matches the Rfam family "Bacterial small subunit ribosomal RNA", at positions 68 to 651 of the family's 1533-position model. Lineage: Bacteria; Pseudomonadati; Pseudomonadota; Gammaproteobacteria; Vibrionales; Vibrionaceae. The record is from RNAcentral.